UACGGAGGGUGCAAGCGUUAUCCGGAUUUACUGGGUUUAAAGGGUGUGUAGGCGGGCUGUUAAGUCAGUGGUGAAAUCUCCGGGCUCAACCCGGAAACUGCCAUUGAUACUAUCAGUCUUGAAUAUUGUUGAGGUAGGCGGAAUAAGUCAUGUAGCGGUGAAAUGCAUAGAUAUGACUUAGAACACCGAUUGCGAAGGCAGCUUACUAAGCAAUGAUUGACGCUGAGGCACGAAAGCGUGGGGAUCAAACAGG
This 253-nucleotide ribosomal RNA is filed under the name uncultured bacterium. RNAcentral's name for it is "partial 16S ribosomal RNA". It matches the Rfam family "Bacterial small subunit ribosomal RNA", at positions 524 to 776 of the family's 1533-position model. The record is from RNAcentral.